UAAGAGCUGAGGGGUCAGAGAGGAUAUGAAACACACUCCAGAAGUCAUCAGAGGAGGGAUUGUAAAUCUGAAGAUGUUGAAAAGCAGAAAUAGCGGAGCUGCAGUGGAUGCGGUCUACCGGGAAAGAUCCAAGAGCUCCAAUGGAAAGAACAGCUCUAGUACAGGCUUGUGGUUUUGGCGAGGAAAAAGAGAGGAAGACAGCGUUGCAGCAGAGCAGGGGGGAUGGAGAUGGAG
This is a long non-coding RNA of Dicentrarchus labrax (European seabass), 234 nucleotides long. RefSeq lists it as uncharacterized. The transcript has 3 exons. The record is from RefSeq and is a predicted model, not a curated record. NCBI's taxonomy places the organism in Eukaryota, Metazoa, Chordata, Actinopteri, Moronidae.